This is a long non-coding RNA of Zophobas morio, 943 nucleotides long. RefSeq lists it as uncharacterized. The transcript is spliced from 2 exons. The record is from RefSeq and is a predicted model, not a curated record. NCBI's taxonomy places the organism in Eukaryota, Metazoa, Arthropoda, Insecta, Coleoptera, Tenebrionidae.
UAAAAUUAUGUAAGAUAUUUAAGAAAUGAUUUGCCUACUUAAGCGCUCUGUUAUAUGUAAUGCAUGGACUUAUUAAGGCCUGUUUUUCUUUUUUCUACCUACCGCUGAGUAUCGAGACAUGAGAGAUGAGAGGUUAUCUUAUCACAAGCAUUCAGAGCUACAUAACGACUGAUGUUAUGAGUUGAUACGUUUUUUAUUGAGAUAAAAGAUCAGUAGUUUCCACUUUUCUUUUAAAUUUGCAAAUACUUCUCAUUACAAUUAUACGUAUUUACAACUUAUACAAAUCGCGUCUAGUAACCGAGUUAGUGUGACAUAAAUCAGGUGAUGAUCCCAAAAUCAUCAAAAAAAGCUUAUUUUAUUAAGCUGUUAGUUGGUUCUGCUCUAGCUAUUCAUUUGAGUAUAUUUGUAAUUAAGCCUUGGGUAACGUCUCAGAAGAGUAAAGAUUCUAGCGACCAUCGUGGAGAUCUAAAAACGAAACCAUAACACGUAACUAUUUUUGACAUAACCUCAAUUGGUGCUAGUGAUGUGCUAUUGUUAUAUAUCAUAGUAUGAAAAUUAGAAAACCGAAAAACUUAACGGGUGCUCAGUUAGGUUUUGCUACAAUUUUAGGAGUUUUAGUUGGUAUUUACGUUUGGAGACCAUCAAUUAUCGACUACCACGAAGAGAAAAAAUCAGGUGAAUUCGCUCAGAAAUAAGAACCACGAUGGGAUGGUAUCAGCGGUGGGCAUCAAAACAGAGGGGAAAAUCUUCUCUUCUAGUUAUUGCAGGCGUUAGCGGCUUGGUGUGUUUCUGGAUUGGAUACAGGCACUACUUUAUACCUUGGCGCACAAGAAAAGCAUUACGCCAAGCUGAAGAAUAUGCCAACAUUUUAAAUAAGCUUGAACGAUAAUUGUAUUGUUUUUCUAAUUAUGUUAGUUUGCUUGUAAAUAAAAACAAGUAUCAA